UUGGUUUUGAUCUGGUUUUAUGGCUUGCA
RNAcentral lists this non-coding RNA (29 nucleotides) under Mus musculus (house mouse). The record is from RNAcentral. Lineage: Eukaryota; Metazoa; Chordata; Mammalia; Rodentia; Muridae.